ACGUAGUUAUACGACUGACGGAAGUGGAAUUGACCACAGGAAGUAUAACCUUGACUAUUAGCCGACCGUCUGGGCAGAAAAG
RNAcentral lists this non-coding RNA (82 nucleotides) under Roseburia sp. RNAcentral's name for it is "ZTP sequence". It matches the Rfam family "ZMP/ZTP riboswitch aptamer (pfl RNA motif)". Rfam says of the family: Previously known as pfl RNA. ZMP is also known as AICAR. Lineage: Bacteria; Bacillati; Bacillota; Clostridia; Lachnospirales; Lachnospiraceae. The record is from RNAcentral.